UAUUGGGCAAUGGAGGAAACUCUGACCCAGCAACGCCGCGUGAAUGAUGAAGGUCUUCGGAUUGUAAAGUUCUUUUCUAAGGGAAGAAGAAAGUGACGGUACCUUAGGAAUGAGCCUCGGCUAACUACGUGCCAGCAGCCGCGGUAAUACGUAGGAGGCAAGCGUUAUCCGGAAUGACUGGGCGUAAAGGGUGCGUAGGUGGUUCAGCAAGUUAGUAGCGUAACUCCGGAGCUCAACUUCGGCACUACUACUAAAACUGUUGGACUUGAGUGCAGGAGGGGCAACUGGAAUUUCUAGUGUAGCGGUGGAAUGCGUAGAUAUUAGGAAGAACACCGGUGGCGAAGGCGAGUUGCUGGACUGUAACUGACACUGAGGCACGAAAGCGUGGGGAGCGAACAGG
Molecule: ribosomal RNA, 400 nt
Filed under: uncultured bacterium
Lineage: Bacteria
Description: bacterial SSU rRNA
Rfam family: Bacterial small subunit ribosomal RNA
Source: RNAcentral